Molecule: ribosomal RNA, 468 nt
Filed under: uncultured Magnetococcaceae bacterium
Lineage: Bacteria; Pseudomonadati; Pseudomonadota; Magnetococcia; Magnetococcales; Magnetococcaceae
Description: bacterial SSU rRNA
Rfam family: Bacterial small subunit ribosomal RNA
Source: RNAcentral
AACGAACGCUGGCGGUACGCCUAACACAUGCAAGUCGAACGGUAACAGGUCCUUCGGGAUGCUGACGAGUGGCGGACGGGUGAGUAACACGUGGAUAUCUGCCUAGGGGUAGGGGACAACAGCUGGAAACGGCUGCUAAUACCGUAUAGUUCCUUACGAGGUAAAGGCCUUCGGGUCGCCCUUAGAGGAGUCCGCGCUGGAUUAGCUUGUUGGUGAGGUAAUGGCUCACCAAGGCUGCGAUCCAUAGCUGGUCUGAGAGGAUGAUCAGCCACACUGGGACUGAGACACGGCCCAGACUCCUACGGGAGGCAGCAGUGGGGAAUAUUGCGCAAUGGGGGAAACCCUGACGCAGCGAUACCGCGUGGGUGAUGAAGGUCUUCGGAUUGUAAAGCCCUUUCAGUGGGGAAUAUAGUGAAGGUACCCACAGAAGAAGCUCCGGCUAACUCCGUGCCAGCCGCCGCGGUAAUU